This is a non-coding RNA of Echinostoma caproni, 82 nucleotides long. Lineage: Eukaryota; Metazoa; Platyhelminthes; Trematoda; Plagiorchiida; Echinostomatidae. The record is from Rfam.
GUCCUCGUAGCUCAGCUGGUAGAGCGUGUGCGUACAAAGCGUAGUCGGCGUUUAUGUGUGGGUUCGCAUCCCACCGAGGCUA